UUUUUUUUUUUUUUUUUUUUUUUUUUUGGCCAGGGUUGCUUUCUGACUCUGGAGUGCAGCAAUUUGGCUAAACUGUCUGGCCAGCGAGCCCUAGGGAUCUUCCUGCCUCUGACUCUUCAGUGCUGGGAUUAUAGGCACUCAUGGUUGUACAUGGCCACAUCUGGCUUUUACAUAUGUGCAAGGGAUUGAACUCAAGUCCUUAUCCUUUAUGGCAAGCACUUGACUAAACCAUUUCCCCAACCCCUAGUACCUUUUCCCUGGUUAGUAGAGCCAUUUCCAACCCAGCAUCUCCUUCACACCCAGACUCACAGUACAAUAGGAGAGAUGCUGAGGAACUUUCGCGAGGAGGUAAACUGUAGUCCAUAGUCCAUCUGCUCCCAAUGUGUCAAAAGCCGAGCCUUUCCUUGGUCAGGGGUCUCAAAGGGCGUCCCUUUGACUGUAUGUAGGAAGAUAUACAUUGCCUGGGAAGAGGGAAAGGGACAGUAUAAGGGGUAGGAAGUAGUCCUUUGGGUCAAGAUCCCAAAAGGAAGACAUAAAUCCCCGAACAGCUGGUGACUUUGUUUUGUUUUGGUUGGGAUAGACCUGGGUUGGGUACAGGGUUUGGUUUAGUGCUCACCAAGUUAUGGAUGACGUUGGUCAGGGUCCAGACAACAGGAAUGCUGAAGAAAGGGAUGCUGAGGAGAACCACAUGCAGCAGUCCUACCAAGAUGAUGUAGGCCAGCCAGAUGCCCCGACUGUUCAUCACUCGAGUGUUGGGGUUUACUUCGCUGUGUGCCACCCCCACAUUCAUCCUACCACAGUGAGGGAUCAGGCAGGAGUCCAACUCAGUCUCCUCAUUAGCCCUGAUUGAGCUUGUUCCCCAGCUGUCUCCUGAAAAGCCAAAAUCCCCUGAAGUCUUGGGAAUGAAAGAAUUUCCCUACCAUGC
This 925-nucleotide long non-coding RNA is filed under the name Mus musculus (house mouse). RNAcentral describes it as "long non-coding RNA chr10:128819644-128820569". Lineage: Eukaryota; Metazoa; Chordata; Mammalia; Rodentia; Muridae. The record is from RNAcentral.